Molecule: ribosomal RNA, 492 nt
Filed under: uncultured bacterium
Lineage: Bacteria
Description: partial 16S ribosomal RNA
Rfam family: Bacterial small subunit ribosomal RNA
Source: RNAcentral
AGUGAACGCUGGCGGUAGGCCUAACACAUGCGAGUCGAACGGCAGCACAGUAAGAGCUUGCUCUUACGGGUGGCGAGUGGCGGACGGGUGAGGAAUACAUCGGAAUCUACUUUUUCGUGGGGGAUAACGUAGGGAAACUUACGCUAAUACCGCAUACGACCUACGGGUGAAAGCAGGGGAUCUUCGGGCCUUGCGCGAUUGAAUGAGCCGAUGUCGGAUUAGCUAGUUGGCGGGGUAAAGGCCCACCAAGGCGACGAUCCGUAGCUGGUCUGAGAGGAUGAUCAGCCACACUGGAACUGAGACACGGUCCAGACUCCUACGGGAGGCAGCAGUGGGGAAUAUUGGACAAUGGGCGCAAGCCUGAUCCAGCCAUACCGCGUGGGUGAAGAAGGCCUUCGGGUUGUAAAGCCCUUUUGUUGGGAAAGAAAAGCAGCAGGUUAAUACCCCGCUGUUCUGACGGUACCCAAAGAAUAAGCACCGGCUAACUUCGUG